AAUUCCGCGGGCCACGAAGGACGGCGACGGCGACUGAACCCAAAGCCCCUCCGCUCCCCUCCCCACCUCCGACGGCAGAGAGGCGACGCCUCCAACAACCUCAGGUUCUUCCUCCACCGGCGACCGGAGCGGGGCCUGCAUAGCGCAUCGCUUCCACGUCCCUCUCCUCUCCCAGAUUUCCCCUCUCCGGCGACGGUUGUCGUCUUCCCAAGAUCUGCUCCGCCCAGAUCCCUGUCCCUCCGGCGAUAACGACGGUCGGCGAAGCAUAGAGAAGGCCGGCGGCGAGUGAGGCGGGCGCCGCGAGCGUCUACCUAGGAGAGGCGCCUCCGCCUCUCUCCGGCUACCGGGAGCGGCGCUUCUGCCUCCCUCCGGCGACGACCAUGGUGGCUAAGCAUCCAAGAUUCCGCUCUUCCCUCCGACAACGGCGACUGCCUAGCAGUCGUUCUUCUCCUGCCCAAACUAUCCGCUCUGCUUAUCUAGUUCAUCAUGGCUUAUUCGUCCCCGAGCUGAUAAGUUGUAGUUCCAGAUCUUGCAGGCUGCCGAUUGGAGAUGUUUUCUCUCUCAAAUUCUGACCGCUUCUUGAAGCAAAGCAGAACAUAUCCCGUCAUCUUUCAGGGUCACCUGCUGCUUCUCCCCUGCCGAAGCAAUUUGUCCAUCUUUCGGCGGCGCUCCAUCAAGCAUCAGAAAUGCUAGCAUGUAGGGAUGCAAUCUUGCUGGCCUGCUCGAGGGGAUGGUCUCACGUUCAAUUGGAGACAGAUUGUCAAACAAUUGUGAAGGUUUGGGGUGGAGAAAAGGAGCAACGUUCUUCUUUCUCCCAGCUGGUUAUAGAGAUGAAGCUUUACUCUCGUUCUUCUUUGGUUUUUCAAUAAAUUUUGUAAAGAAAGAUGCAAAUAAGGCAGCACAUGCUUGUGCUAGUGUGGCACUCUCUGUUGAUGAUUUGGUAGUCUCGUAUGACUGUGUCCCUGGUUUUCUAGCUGAGGUUGUUUAGCUUGAUUUUAUGCCGUCGAUUGAAUAAAUGCCGAUGGGCGAUGUUCAAAAAAAGGACUGGUUCUUAA
Molecule: long non-coding RNA, 1055 nt
Organism: Lolium rigidum
Lineage: Eukaryota; Viridiplantae; Streptophyta; Magnoliopsida; Poales; Poaceae
Exons: 2
Source: RefSeq, a predicted model, not a curated record